Molecule: long non-coding RNA, 1799 nt
Organism: Acipenser ruthenus (sterlet)
Lineage: Eukaryota; Metazoa; Chordata; Actinopteri; Acipenseriformes; Acipenseridae
Exons: 3
Source: RefSeq, a predicted model, not a curated record
UGGAUAAUAUUAUAAGGGAAAUCCUGAGAGAAACGCCGAAUGCAGGAGGCAACUAUGUUCAAGGUGGUGUCCUAGCCAGAGGAUUAAGAGUUCAGAGAAGGAGAAUUAGAGAUCGAUUAAAUGCCCUGGACCCAGUUGGCAGAGCCCUUAGAAGACAGCAUACAAUUAGAAGGAGAAUAUAUAAUGUCAGAGGACCUAAUCAUUUAUGGCACAUUGAUUCAAAUCACAAGCUUAUUUCAUGGAGAUUUGUGUACCAUGGAUGCAUUGAUGGUUACAGUAGAAUGAUUAUAUACCUGACAUGCUGUACAAACAAUUGUGCAGCUACUGUUUUGCAUUUCUUUGAAGAGGGUGUAUCAAGGUAUGGGUUACCACUGAGAGUUAGAGGGGAUCGAGGUGGUGAAAACAUUGAUGUUGCUAGAUACAUGAUUAUGAGCCGUGGCAGAAACAGAGGAAGUUUUAUUGCAGGCAGAAGUGUUCACAACCAGAGAAUAGAGCGUCUUUGGGGUGAAGUGAACAGAGUGGUUUCUGAGUUUUAUAGGCAAUUGUUUAUGUACAUGGAAAACAUUGGAAUCUUAGAUUCUACAAAUGAAGUUGAUUUAUGUGCAUUACACUUUGUUUACAUUCCAAGAAUAGGAAAUUCUGUGCAAGAAUUCACUCGCCAGUGGAAUUACCAUCGACUUAGCACUGUUCAGUCAAUGUCUCCCUUAGCAUUAUGGCAUUCUGGAAUACUUUCAAAUCUUACUACAGUAAAUUCACAAGAUCUUCUGAGUGGCAUAGAUAAUUAUGGAAUUGACCAUGCAGGCCCAAUUACAGCAAAUGAGGCAGACACAUACAUUCAUGUUCCACAUAAUACAGUACAAAUGAGCGCUGAAAACCACAGGGAGCUUCUGUCGCUUUGUGAUCCAUUAUCAGAUGAUGACAAUAGUGGUAUUAAUCAUUAUUUAUUUGUUUUGGAUUAUGUGAUAAACAAUGUUAGAUAGUGUUGUAUACAAAUAAUUACGUUCCAACUCAAUUAAUUGCAAAAACUAUGUUGUUGUAUCACUCCCGAUGCUACAUAUGUGGGUGGAUACUCAUCCCCCUGUCCCUUUUAAGUUGGGUUAGUAGCCUGUCCAGGUCAAAAGCUUCAAUCCCCAUAGUUCCUAGCAAACCUCCUUUGUUUGUCCUCUUUCUUUCUUCUUCCUUUUUCCAAUAACAAUUCCUUUCUGUUAUCUUCAACUCCAUCUCUGCCACAUCUCUCUCCUCUACCUCUGAUCACUUACAACCAUCUGCUAAUGCUGUGCAUGCAAACCUUUCCUCUAGUCUUAUUCUUGAUUUUUCGCCAGCCUUCAACACCGUGGAUCAUUCUGUCCUCUCUACCACUCUGUCUAAUCCUGGUAUUUCUGGUACACCUUUAUCUUGGAUUCAAUCUUACCUCUGUUAACGUAUUACUGUGGUUUCUCUUUUCUCUUCUUGCCCCUCCCCCCCCUCCUUCACUGGAACAGGCUCCCCCUUAAUAUUAAGCAGUCUCCCAACCCAAUGACAUUCCGUUCCUCCCUCAAACCCACCUAUUUUCUGUGGCCUACCCUAAUUCACCUCCGAAUCCUUCCAUACCAUCUUUCCAAUUAGAUUUGUUGUUGUCUUUUUGUUUGUCUAUUGUCCUCUCCUGCCCUUCCCAGCAUUCAUUUAUUUACAUAUUUGUCAGUUUCCUUUGUUUAAUACAAUUUUCAUUUAUCCUAUACUGUACUGUUACACUUUGUAAAGCACUUUGAUAAAAGCGCUAUAUAAAUAUCAAUAAAUAAAUAAAUACAUAAUUGGCCCAC